GGUGCGUAGGCGGUUUUGCAAGUCUGAAGUGAAAGUUCAGGGCUUAACCCUGAGAGUGCUUUGGAAACUGUAGAACUUGAGUGCUGGAGAGGCAAGGGGAAUUCCACGUGUAGCGGUGAAAUGCGUAGAGAUGUGGAGGAAUACCAGUGGCGAAGGCGCCUUGCUGGACAGUUACUGACGCUGAGGCACGAAAGCGUGGGGAGCAAACAGGAUUAGAUACCCUGGUAGUCCACGCCGUAAACGAUGAGUGCUAGGUGUUGGGGGGUACCACCCUCAGUGCCGAAGUAAACACAAUAAGCACUCCGCCUGGGGAGUACGGUCGCAAGACUGAAACUCAAGGAAUUGACGGGGGCCCGCACAAGCAGUGGAGCAUGUGGUUUAAUUCGAAGCAACGCGAAGAACCUUACCAGGGCUUGACAUCCCUCUGACGGGUACAGAGAUGUGCCUUCCCUUCGGGGCAGAGGAGACAGGUGGUGCAUGGUUGUCGUCAGCUCGUGUCGUGAGAUGUUGGGUUAAGUCCCGCAACGAGCGCAACCCUUGAUCUGUGUUACCAGCAUGUAAAGAUGGGGACUCACAGGUGACUGCCGGCGCAAGUCGGAGGAAGGCGGGGAUGACGUCA
Molecule: ribosomal RNA, 619 nt
Filed under: uncultured bacterium
Lineage: Bacteria
Description: bacterial SSU rRNA
Rfam family: Bacterial small subunit ribosomal RNA
Source: RNAcentral